GAGACAGGGUUUCACCAUGUCUGCCAGGCCGGUCUUGAACUUUUGACCUCAGGUGAUGUGCCUGCUUUGGCCUCCCAGAGUAUUGGAAUUGCAGGUAUGAACCACCGUGCACGGCCAGAAGGGACCUUUAAACCCCUAGAGUGCACACAGGUCUUUGCAGCUGGGAGAACUGAAGCCCAGAGAGGCCAAGUAGCUUGCUCUAGGGCACACAGCAUUAGAAGCAGGAUGGGAAACAGCUCUUUCCACCAUCUGGUCUUUUAAUAUAGUUUUGUUUGUUUUCACUAAUAGUUAUUGAGUGUCUACUGCGUGUGAGACCUUGGAGACACAGAUAUGGAUGAGUUGCAAGGAGUCCCUGUGCCCUUGAAGCCUCGCCAUCUAAUCUAAUGUUGUCCAAUUUAACUUUCUGGGUGAUAGAAUCAUUCCAUGUGGUACCAACAAACCACUUGUGACUUCUGUGAUUGAAAUGUGCCUGGUAACUGAUAAUGCAACUGAGGCACAUUAUCUCAUUUAAAUUAACUUUAUCUCAUUUAUAUUAAUUUCAACUUAAGCAUCCACAUUUGGCCAGUGGCAGCUGUGUGUUGGAUAUUGUAAGUCUAAUCUAUGGUCACAUGACCACACACACACACACACACACACUGAUAUGGUUUGGCUCUAUCCCCACUCAAAUCUCAUCUUGGAUUGUAGUUCCCAUAAUCCCCAUGUGUCGUGGGAGAGAGCUGGUGGAAGGUGAUUUAAUCAUGGGGGCAUUCACCCUCAUGCUGUUCUCAUGAUAGUGAGUGAGUUCUCAUUAGAUCUGAUGGUUUUAUAAGGGGCUUUUCCCUCUUUGGCUUGGCACUUCUCUGUCCUGCCCCUCCUUAAAGAAGGACAUGUUUAUUUCCUCCUCCACCAUGAUUGUAAGUUUCCUGAGGCCUUCCCAGCCCUGCAGAACUGAGAGUCAAUUAAAUCUCUUUAUAAACUACCCAGUCUUGGGUAAGUCUUUAUUAGCAGGAUGAGAACAGACUAAUACACACACAGUCAUGAACUGUGAGAGAUCAGAGCCACUACACUGUGGGUCCUCAAGAUCACUGACAGGUUCCAUGAAUGAUUUCAAAUCCUUUGCUAGAAGGACCCCAAGAACUCAGAAGACCUGUUAUCCUCAUGAUUAUGGUUUAUUACAACAGAAGGAUUCAGAUUAAAAACUGCAAAAUAAAAGGUACAUAGGGCAGGGUCCAGAAUAGGCUUCCAGUUGUCCUCUCCCAGUGGAAUCCUACAAACAUGCCUAAUUCUCCCACCAAUGUUGUGUGACAACAUGUAUAGAGUGUUGCUACCUGUGGAAACUCACCUGAGCCUUGGUGUUCAGGGUUUUAAUUGGAAGUCGGUCACAUAGCUGUGGAGUUACCACAUGACUGACCUUACUUAGUCACCAGCCCCUGCAGAAGUCAAUGUGAUUAAAGUCUCCCACCAUAAUUACAUGGUUACCUAGACUGUCUGGCCUGGUUUAGCCCAAGUACCCAGCUAUAAAAAGACUGAGUUAGGGAGAAUACUGCAAGAGCUUAGGGUUAAUCUCCCAGGAGUCAAUCAGGUUCUUUCUUUGGAGCACGCAUGGGUUUGAACAUCCUAAGUCUGCUCAGUUAGCCCUUUAAUGCACACUAGAAAUCUGUUAGGGAGAAUAACAGGGGCCUCGAAGCUUGGAGAUGUAGAGAAGGUAUUGCUUGUUGCUGACCAUUUCGUCUGAAGCUCCGGAAGGAUCUACAUGAAUACUUCACAUUGAGGGAAGCUGAACUGGAACUCUACUGACGAAGGAGCUGGGCAGCCACGCCUGGAUCUGUCAAGGAAACACACCCGCUGACUACUCGGGAAUCCUGCCCUGGGGAUGUGACACUCGCAAAAGGAGUUCAAACUUAAUAACCUUCCAGAGUUGGUAUCAAAUUCAGACGCUGACACUCCUCGGAGAGGUUCUUUGAGGCAACAGGAUGGAAAGGAUCACUUUGCUUUUGUUUCUCUCCUGCUGCUCUGUCUGGAAGCCAUGUGAGGAGGACGUCUGAGUAGCUCUGUGGAGAGGCUCCCAACCAACAGCCAGCAUGAACUUGCUGGUCAUGUGAGCACACCGCCUUGGCAGUGGAGCCUCCAGCCCCAGUCAAGCCAUCAGCUGAGACUACAGCCCUGGCUUGUAUCUGACCACAGCCUCAUGAACAACCCAGAGCUAGGCCACCAAGAAUCCCAGAGAGAAGAACUGGAAAAACAGCUCUCUCAGGAUGACACAGGGCACACAGAACCAGUCUGAGAGGCUGCAGCCACAGUUCUAGGGAUCUGUGUGAGGUCCUGCCUGAGACUUGUGUCCCGUGGAGAUCCCAGGUAGAGGAGCUUGAACACCUCAGCCAGGCAAUCCCUUCUGAGCCUUCAGCUGGCGCAGGAGUUGUCCCAGGAUGCAGCAGGAUAGUUUACACUUGACCUUACAGCACAGCCCCAUUCCGAUGAGCUACCUUUCGGGCGCUCAGUAGCUAUCGUAGCUUGCAGCUACUGUAUCGGACAGUGCAGCUCUAUAAAUGAGGACGUGCUCAGAAGGUACCUGCUAUAUCUCAUGCUCUGGAAAUACCAAGAUGAACCAUGCAGACCCUGACCCCAUGGAGUUGAGAGUCUAGUGGGAGAAGACAGACAUCAUCAAAUGCUGGCACAAAUAAAGGCAUGUUUGCCUGAGGGGUUACAUGUUACGUCAGGGAGGCACUUCUACGGGAGCAGGGCCCGAGCUCGGUCUGGGGUUGGCCAGGAAGGACUUUCCUGCAGAAGUAACGUUUGCUCUCAGGACCAAAAGAUGACCAGGUGAAGAGUCACCUCACUCCUUGAAACCUCAGUUUCCUUCUUUGUAAUGUGGGAUGAUAGUGACACCUACAUUCCAGGAUAUUUGUGAGGCUGAACCAAGAUGGCACAGGUGAAGAUGAGUAACACGAAGUCUGGUACAUAGUGAAUGCCUGGCGUAUCGUGGCUUCAUUCAUAGUCCCUUGAUGUAUGGUGAAGUUCCUAUGGAUUGGAAAGCUCAUUGUUGUCUCAGAAACUGCUGCCCAAGGGACAAAGAAGAAUGCAAGCCCACCAUGUGAAAUGCACGCAGAAGAGGAAGGGUCUCACUCUGCUCUCUCUCUCUCUCUCUCUCUCUCUCCAUCCUGAGGACCCUUUUAAUUGCUUAGGUUUUCUUCUAGGGGUUUUAUGGUGU
Cebus imitator (Panamanian white-faced capuchin) is the source of this 3187-nucleotide long non-coding RNA. RefSeq lists it as uncharacterized. The record is from RefSeq and is a predicted model, not a curated record. The transcript is spliced from 10 exons. NCBI's taxonomy places the organism in Eukaryota, Metazoa, Chordata, Mammalia, Primates, Cebidae.